UAUAUUUUGGUGUAUGAUGCACAAAAGUUUUUGAUACUUUAAGUAAUAGUUUAAUUCUAUUAAAUAUAA
This 69-nucleotide transfer RNA is filed under the name Neuroperla schedingi. RNAcentral's name for it is "tRNA-Gln". The record is from RNAcentral. Lineage: Eukaryota; Metazoa; Arthropoda; Insecta; Plecoptera; Eustheniidae.